This is a long non-coding RNA of Clarias gariepinus (North African catfish), 1518 nucleotides long. RefSeq lists it as uncharacterized. Lineage: Eukaryota; Metazoa; Chordata; Actinopteri; Siluriformes; Clariidae. The transcript has 2 exons. The record is from RefSeq and is a predicted model, not a curated record.
UAAGAAACAACGGACACUGGAGGAAGAAGAACGCCCGAUUUGAACUGAACUCACCGGAAUGGGACAUAUUGCACCGAUAUGACAUUAAAUCAAGCACAAAACAGUUUUGGCAGCAGAGCGGCCGUGCUCCGAGCUUUCAUUCUCAUUUCAUCCUCCCUCCAUCUCUUCCUCCGCUUUCCUACAUUCCCUUUCCUUACGCUUCAGAGAUAGAGAAAGACUCAGAGACUCCUGCACUCGCAAUGCAAGCAUCCUGCCCAGAGUGUUUUUCAGCUCAUUUUCAAAUGGUCACCACAUUGGAGCAUUUGAUCCUCAAGUUGGGUGCCCUUCCUGCCACAACCCAUCCAUUUCUCCAGGCUUGAGACUCUCACUGGAGAUGCUUUGCAACAUAGUGGUGGAAGGGCUAGAACUCCCCAACCCUCCAAUCAACAACCCAGCGCCUCUACUGACUGAAACCUGAUUUAUGCUCCUUCAUCAAGUCUACGUAGAGCCCAAGCUGUAGGCUAGACAAGUGGCCUACAGCAUUGCGAGCAUUUAUACUUGUACGUCUCUUUACCACCCUAUGGUAAAGGUUUUUUUUUUGGUGCACUACAAACACUAGCGAAUGAAACGGAAUGGAUCUUGUUGGUGGAGCUGGAAUUUGAACAGCUGUUACUUUACAAAAAUAGUCUGAAAAUAAUCAACUGAAUUAAAAGAAUGGAAGCAUAGAAGCUGGAAAUACAACGCAAGCAGGUUGACCUAUCAAAGUUGCUACAUGCGGAUUGGGCUAAUUGGCGAAUGAGCAUGUGUUUGUGUGUGCCUUGUGAUGGAGAGACACCCAAUCCGUGUCCUAUGUCCCCUGGGAUAGCCUCCCGUCCACCCACAACCCUGUAUACAAAACUAAGCGGUAUAGACAAUGAGUGAGUGAUUUUAUGAAGUUUAUGAAGAUUAUCCCAAAUAUUUCAAUCAAAGCAAAACAUAAUAUAGUACCCAAGCUCAAUGGUGAUAAAAUACACAACUUUCUGGUAAUUAGACCUUAGUAUAUUUACCUGUUUGAGAUCCUAACAGCCUGGCUAUGUGAGCAUCACAAGAUGACGCUCUGGAUGAAGCUCCGCUAGCAAUCAAAACGGCAUGAUUAAAGAGCUCCGGGAAGAGCUAAUGAAAUGAAACGUCUGUUAGGUGCCUUCUUCCAGUUGAUCUCUUUCUUCAUUUCCUCUUUCAUACACCCACACACGGUAUAUCAACAGUAUGUUUUCCGUCACAUAACAAUAUUAGCCUUAAGCCAUGUCACCUUUCAGGCUAGUGUGUGUGAUGAAAGGAUGAGCCUGAAGUGCCUCAGGCAUUUUGCUUUAGGUGAUCCACCUCUGUGUUAUCCCUGAAUGAUAUAACCUUAAUCUCUGUCUCUCUCUCUCUUACAUGUCUAAGACCCAUGUGUCACUUUUUUUCCCAUGAAAAAUCUGCAGUUUGUAACGUUUCAUUCAGUAAAGCUUAAACGUAUCAUUGUAAAGAACAGAAUUAAUAAAGACAGAGCCUUAAGUUUUA